UUAAUCAUUCCAUUUUUCUUCACAAGUCUACAUACUUAAAUUAGGUGUUAUAAAUUUGAAGUUAAGGUGCAAUGGGUUAUGAGAAGCUUGACGUGAAGAUUGUGGUGGUUGGUCAUGUGGAUUCUGAGAAAUCAACCAACAGUACUGAGGAACCCAACAAGGCUGUUGUUGUGGAGGAGAACCAAGCUGAUGAGAUGAAUUAAUGUUAUAUGAGGUCCUUUAAUGAUCUCAGUGUGCAAAAAAGGGUACUAGAAAAUUAGUAAUGUUGAAAGAAAUAAAUAAUCUGGUACCCCUUAGUCUAUUUCUUUGUUAUGUUAUGUUAUGUUCAUUGAGAUGAGAGUUAUGGUGAAGACUGAAGAGUACUCUUCUGAUCUUGUAUCACUUUCACUCAAAGUUAAUUAAAUGCAUGUCUGUUAAUUUUUCUCUUAUGCUAAUUAAGAAGUGGUUCUCUUUAUUAU
Molecule: long non-coding RNA, 458 nt
Organism: Medicago truncatula (barrel medic)
Lineage: Eukaryota; Viridiplantae; Streptophyta; Magnoliopsida; Fabales; Fabaceae
Exons: 2
Source: RefSeq, a predicted model, not a curated record